GUCAGGUGGAUAUCCACCGACGUUUCAGAGGAACUUACUGCAUCCAACAUCAAAGUAAUGGAUGAAUGAUUCAAUAUACACCAGACUUCAUAGUGCAAUAUUCCAGGAGACAGCAACCUUCAUACUCGUUACCCCUUGAAGAGUGUUUUACUUCUUCUAAACCCAGUAACGAAGAAGGAAGGAUAGGAGUCGAAAGAUACGCUCCAACGUCAACCAAACAAAUUUUUACGAGUAAGAAAAUAAUUCACAUAACGCACUUAAAAAAAUCCAAAAACAACACAUACGAAGAUGUCAUGUAAUCUCGUAUAAAUUAACCGACGUUUUAGAGGUACUUCCUGCCUCCAUCAACUUAAUGACAGUGGCAGAAUCCACCUCUGAAACGUCGGUGAACUUCAACCAGACUACACGGCGCUACAACCCCCUAAGACAGCCAUCUUCGUCCUCACCGCCCUGGGAACUUGAAAUAUGUGUGCGACGUUUAGGUACAACUCCAUGCAUUCUUAACCUCGAAACCAAGUGUUUUGAGGGUACACAGGCCGUUUUCACAUAACAAAACCCCGUAAAGCAAGAACGCUCGUAGAAUUUUUUAGUGCGCGCAAUUUUAGUCGGUCUGCGCGGCAGCUUCUACCGUGGCCGCGGAUAGGCUACUGAUGCUCCUAUAAUGAAGAAUUAAAACCGCGGAUAUUCCAAAGCGCGUAUAACGACAAUCACCUGUAUAUUCUUAGGAUUGCAGGCUGGGUGAACCUCAAAGCCGGUCUGAAGGAAUGUAAUGUCUUUGACGUAUCCCUUAAUUGCAUAAUUUUCAAGCUCAAAUCUAAUGAAAAUUGGUUUACGAGUUACAAACAUAGUGUGUCUUUCUCUCUCUUUCACCUACUUUCUGCUAUGGAAUAAGGAAAGUAGGAUAACAUAUGAAAUGAGAGGUAGUAACGAGCAGAAAAAGUCUGUCGCAAUUGACAUCGUUCAUUAGCCACGUCCAUUACGAAGACACGAACGGACGACAACGGAGAACCGGAAGGGACGAUCCACAGCCACGAGGCUGACCGACCUUACGCCUCCUGGGCAACGAGGAUACAGCUCGACACCUCAAAUCCUUGUGACGUCAUUCGGGCGCAGUUAUUUUCUGAGCUACUAAACAGAAAAAUCAGAUCUAAAGGAAUUUAAUGUGUCUGAGGACUCUUUAGCGUGAAGGUAUACUGAACAUCUGUAGCUGAUAGACUUUCGUCAAAUAACCAAUCAGUAAUUAAGGAACACAUUCGACUUCUGGGUUGUUGAAAUGUAGUCAUCAAACCUGAUGACUACAUUUCAACACAUUCGACUUCAACCUGAUGAUAGAGGCAGCAAGCACCUCUUCUACCAGACUACACGGCGCAAAACCCAGAAUACAGCAAUUUUAAAACAAUUCAUAAUCACCAUACUAUCUUUAUGUUAGGCACAGUCACUGCCGUGGUAUAAACACUCGGAUUUUUUGAUCUGGUCAUCGUAUUACAGUCCAUUUUAAAAUGUAAUUAACAGCAGCUAAUUCUACGUACACAUAACGGGUUAUAUUUUGUAAGGAGUCAGGUAGUGUAUAGUUUCAAUCAGUUGAAUUCAUUUACCCGAAUUUUCAAUUGCCCAUGCAUUUAGUGAGACGUUUUGAAUGACAUAUAGGCAUCGUCAUUCUUUUUAACAAAACAAUCACGAACGCAAUUCGUGAGUUAAGGAAAACAGCUUGUUACAUUGUAAUAGGUAAAAAAGAAUAAUGAUAAUAUUAUGAAGGAAAUAAGAUCAUAAACACAUUUUUGAAGGGUAUCUUAAGUAGAUUCUUACUCGACUCUCAUACCAAAAUUCUUGCGUUUUUUUUAAUAAUAGAAUCGCACGUCAUUUGAACACAUAAAACAUUUCUAUUAUUACAGCCUGAAGCUUGUGUUUGAAGGUACGUUCGAGUUACUUGAUGUACGUAACGAGAUAUUAAUAAAUAAUAAGUUGUUUUAUCCCUAAUUUGUUUGUGAAAAUCUGUCUCGUGUCCUGUGGAAAAUUUCACAAGCGAGGAAAUUCAUAAUCUGUACAAUUUAUCCAAUAUUAUGUAACAAGAAAUGCAACACGAAUUGACUGAGAUGUGAUCAGGAUGUUUCCAUCGGAAAAUCUCAAGGAAAUACUGCCUGUCAGUCCUAGGCACAGAUGGGAGGAUAAUAUUAAAGGGGUUAUUGUUCCGUGUUACCUGGCCCAAGCUUACCGACAUUUCUAAGGUUCUUGUUGCCUCCAUCAUCAGGAACAAUAGUGCAGGCAGUAAUUAUCUCCCAAAGGUCGGCAAACUUCUACCAGACUACACGCCACUACAACUCAAGACGACUUAUGGAAACU
Molecule: non-coding RNA, 2340 nt
Organism: Zootermopsis nevadensis
Lineage: Eukaryota; Metazoa; Arthropoda; Insecta; Blattodea; Termopsidae
Source: RefSeq, a predicted model, not a curated record